AACCAGGCGGACCUCGCGGCGGCUUCUGUUCUUCUCCCCCAAAAUCGGAACCGAAGUGGGUUGUUUGGACACGGAGAGAUCUGCGCGGUAUUCAUUCGCUCUGGGCGUCACCUCCAUACUAUAAAACCUUGGCACCUCCAUCGACGCCUCAUCCACCUCAUUCAAGUUCGCAGUGCACCAAGCAGGGAGAGAGAAAAAGAAAUUCGGUGAGAUAGGAGUGUAGCGCCUGGGCAUGCUGCUGCUCGGGGAUUCACUGAAGCGUUGAAGAACAUCGAAGCCUUGGCGGAUUUUCCUCUUGGUUCCGAGAUUCAUCGCUGGGUCGCGGCGAGCUGUGGUCGGCGUCAUUGCCGGCUUGUCAUCGGUGAGUGCUUUUCCGCCUGUGUUGGCACUGUCUCCGUUUCCUGGGUCUACGACCGUGCUUAGGCUAGUGCUCGGGCCAUCACAGCAAUUGGGUUCCGUGCACCAGUGGUCAUCGGGGCAUCGGUGGUCAGGUGCUCGGUCAGGGGCCACCGCGGUUGGGGCAAGGCGUCACCUAGCUCGGACUGAGGAAGAAGAAUAGAGCUUGGUCGUUGGAUUUGGAACCUCUGACCACAGUUAGUUUUGCGGCUUGAAUAGGUUUGAGCCGUGGGGAUAGGAAUCAACCGCCACAAUUAGAUCUAGAUGAGUCAUGCGUUCCGGCCUUCAGAUCGAAUCUCGGUGGCCAAGAUCUGUUUGCGCGCACCGCUUCGGUGUGUGUGCGUGGUGAGCCAUCCGAUGCAGAUCGGACGUGGGAGAAUCGAUCACCCUGUUUUAAGUCAUGUCCGUCCAUAGUGGAUCAUGCGGCUAGUACUGCGUACCGGUUCAUAUCGGGCCGAUCUAAUCUGGUCGGUCAGAUUGUGAUCGAAUGGCUGAUAAUCAAGGAUACCCCUUCGUGGUGUAACAAUCGCUAAAGAGACCCUAGGGAAUCAACUAAUAAACCCGCAGUCCGCCUCUGAGUUGUUUGAGUCUGGGGAAAAAUUUCUGGAUUUGCCCCCGGAGUUCUCUGUAAUUAGCGCUCAGUCCGGAGAACAAUGAAAAUUGAUAAUUAGUUACAGAAAGUCAUUUUUAAUACAAAAAUAAUUCUAGAAACUUGUAUAAUUCACAUUAAAUUCACUUUAGCUACAAAUUGAUUCAUUCCAGAGACAUUAAUUUUAUUUUUAUAUUGUCUACCACUUAGUACCUCUGUUUAGCAAUAAAAUAUGAAUUAAAAUUAUUCAUCUAAAUUAAUCUAUACCAUGUACUAAAUAACUCCAGAAAAUCAUAACUCUGUAAUCGUAACUCCGAUUUUAGUGAUUCUCGAACCCACGAUCUCGUAGCAGCGCGUAGAAUAUUAUUACGCAGUUUAUUAUUAUGUUUGGUGUGAUGUUAAUUUUGCCUAUACCAUUGUUGGGACCAUGCUUCGUCGCCGAAGGUCCUGUAGGAAGAAACAGCUUCGGCUGAAGCUGUCUGUACGUGACGCCGAAGGGUGCCGUUCAUGAAGCUUCGGAAUUACAAACCGACUUAAAGAUAGAAUGACCUUUUAGUCCAUAAGAGUUUGAGUCGUUGUUGUAAACUUUUAUGAGGGGUAUGAUUGUAAUUGCUUACAGGCUGUGUCCUGUGCCUAUAAAUAGUGAACAAUAUUCUUUUACUGUUCACUCAUUCCUGUAAUUGCAAUCACAUUACUCGGAAAUUAUUCCUUGCCAAGGCAGAGGUAUAAAUGUAUCUAAACAUUAUAUUUGAAUACAUCAAGUUUAUAUAAUAUGUAAAUGAUGUUGUUUACUUCUAAUUUACUUGUCUGUAAUGCUUUAUGUCUCGUGUUAUUUUAUAUUAUCUCUGAGAGUUCAAUUACGAAGAUUCAACCUUUGUAAUUGUAUCAUUAUAACCUUCGUCCGAAGUUCAUUAAAUCCUUGGGGGAAAUAAUGCUUCAGCGGACGAAGGACAUUAAUAUUUAACAUUUUAUGUUGCCUUGUUCUUAAUUCAUAGCAUUUCAGAACAAGUCCCCAACAUUGGCGCCCACCUCCGGUGAACUCACUUCCACUUUUUUGAGCUGAUGGCUUCGUUCAACAUUCAAGCUGGAGCUGCUUCGGCUCCGAAGCUGGUACUCCUGAUAACAGGCGGUUCAUGCUCAGAGCCAGCUAACAAGAAGCAGAAGAAGGAGGCACAGAGAAGGGUAUAGCACGUCGGGGUGCAAGGACCUUUCAUCAAGUCAAGAUGGUCUCACAUUCCUAUUACCUUCUUGUUGGAACUUGCUCUCAGCGGCAAGGAGGCCAACAAGGGUGAACGGUGGUGACAACAGGGUUACGUGCUCGGGGGCAAUAGCUCUGUUUAUCUACCCUCUCACGGGCACUGUGCGGGGGUAUUUAUAGGUAUCUGAGUGCCCAGCGCCUUGUGUUAAGGACGCAUGUGCCCUCAGACACCUAGUUUAUCCCCAGAAUAUUCCCAUAAAGCAGGGUUACAAGCUGUAAUUACAAGAAUGCCUUUACAAACUAGGCCCGUAACACAAAGGCGGCCACGCGGGGCCCGUUACAAUGGGCCAGAUCACACGUGGGCCUCAGAGCGGGACGAGGCCGUGCUGCGGGGAGACGUCACCGCAGGCCUUCGUCUGGUGCUGAAUGAAGCGAAGGGUGUCCCUGCCCGUUUUGUCUUUGUCAGACCAGCGACUACAGUGAAAGGCGACGAGCGAAGGGUGGCGUCUUUGCCUUCGCCCCAACAUUUGCCCUCCAAGGGACCAGUUCGACAAAGUCACCUGGUGCCGAAGACGUCGAUAGAUGGCGGAGACGCUACCCUCGCUCGAAGUGGUUCCGCGGGGGUUUUUGACAUGACCGUUGAUGGACGGCGUACUGUUGGAUUGCGGGUUUCCCGAAGCGCCGCGCCCUGUCGGAUUGCGGGUUUCCCGAAGAGCCGCGCCCUGCCUAUAAAAGGGGGCGGGGGUCGGUGCUUUUUGAACAUUGCCUUCCGCGCUCCGCGAAAACCCUAGCCGCCCGCCGUCUUGCUGCUCGUCUGCCCGCCGUGUUCUUGAUCGCCGGAGACCUGGCUCGAGUGAAGCAGACCGCCCGCCGCCGCCGACGGUACGUAGCAAUGCCGUCCUCUUCUUCUUCCGCCGACACCACGCCGCCGGCGGCCGCCUCGUCUGAGGAGACGUUGAGUAGCUUGAUGGUGGAGGAGUUGCGCGCCGGCGACUCUGUUGAUUUUGGUGUGUCACGGAUGACGUCAGCCCGCGUUGAAGAUAUGCAGCGGUUGGGCUACUUUGGCGGCGGAGUUGCUCGUGCUCCGGGGACGGAGGAAGUCCCCGAGCCGGAGGGUGAGUUGGUCGUUUUCGAGGCGUUCUUCGCCGCCGGUCUCCGCUUGCCUCCGCACCGGUUUGUUGGCGAAGUCCUGCGUAGAUUCAACGUUCAAAUACAUCAGCUGACAUCGAAUGCCAUGGUGGCGCUGGCGAAGUAUGUCUGGGCGACGACUUCGUACGGCGGACAGCCGUCUGUUGAAGUUUUUGCGACGAAUUAUUGUUUGCAUUGGCAGAAGAGGAUGGUUGGGGACGGAGUUGCCCAGUUCGGGUCAUGCACAUUCACGCCGAAGACCGGCAAGACCACAAUGCCAGUAGUGGAGUUGGUUCCGUGCGCCCGCAACAAGUGGGGCAAUUGGAAUGAAUUUUGGUUUUACGUUGCUGAGGGUGCUGUCGAAGACCAUGAGGGACUCCUCGUGUCUGAGAUGUGCUCUCAUUAUUACUCUGCGUAUCCGCCCUUUGAAGUGGCAGAAGAGGAUGCAGACGAAGGGGCCCUUCGGUGCGCCGCCGGUCAGAGCAGUGGGCGUGAUUUAGUUGAAGAGUUCGUGGCGUACGGGGUCUGGCGCUUGGCGCAUGGCUGGGCGUUGGGCGAAGUGUGCCCUCGCCAGAUGCCUUUUCACGGAGGAAGGGUGGUGCGAAGUCCUGCCUUCGCACUGAAUUUGCGAAACCGUGACCCGGCCGCCUUUGUGCGUGAUGCGGAGGACUUGGCGGUGCGGCUCGUGGGACGUUACGUGCCGAGGACGGAAGGCCAGCGCAGCUUUGAUAUCCGCAGGUCAAAUGACCGUUUGAACAGGGUCUUCGAAUUAAAUCAAUUGCCAUACGACGGCUAUCCCGGUCAAGACGAAGCGGACCGCCGUGGGAAGAAACCGGCGGUGGAGACUAGAGACGACCCUGCGCCGGCGGCCGCCCCUUCCUCGAAAAAGAGAAAAUUAGGUACUAUGAUGGGAGGACUUGGGGUGUCUGACAGUUUUGCUAGAGAGUUGAUGAGGACGUGUGCGGCCCCGGGGGAAAGGAUGUCUUCGCCCGAGCUCCGGGAGUCUUCAGCUCGGAUGCUGAGGGUUACCGGGGGCUGCUGGCCUAGAAAUGUUCCUAUCCCCUGCGCGGCCGAGGAGGACUGUUUUACAUCUCGUAUGGUUCAUCGGUGGAGAGUUUUUCCUUACGGGCGAAAUAUCGGUGCUGUUGUGUGGGCAGUGAUGGACAAGGAUCGCCAAGGUGCGGUGCAAAAACGCCAGGCGACUGUCAGGCUGCAUGAAGCUAGGCCGAAGAGGCGGCGGGGGGCUCCGAAGGCUGCGGCCUCCGGCGGAGGCAAGCCGCCGCUGGCGGCGAAGGCGGGCGCCUCUGCACCUAGCAAGGCGCCGGAGGCAACGGCGGGCGCUGGAGGCUCCAAGUCAACGAAGGUGGUGCCGCCGGCCAGCGGAGUGGCGGAGGCCUCGAAGGCGGCCCGAGCGUUGCCGUUGUCGGGCAAGCGCGUUGCCGACUUCGGCACCGAUAUUACUGUAGACGACUAUCUUGGUGGUAAGUCUUUGGCCUAUUAUUAUUAUUAUUAUAUAUAUAUAUUUUUUAAUUCGAAGAUGCGUUGCAGGGUCGGACGAGGGGCAGCUUGCUAUGGUUGCGCCUGGCGCGGAGACCGCGACGGCGGCCAUAGUGCCGAGGGCGAGGGGCGAGGCCCUUGGCGCCGGAGGCGAGGUGUCGGUCCUCGCGGUGGUUAGGGACGAGGCGAGCGCAGCGACCCGCCGGCUAAAGGGAGUGACGGAGGCGCUGAGUCAGGCGACGGAGGCGCUGAGUCAGGUCCGCUGAGUUAUACUCUCUCCCCCGCCUCUUUCUUUUGGGGCAACGGCCUUACGUGUGCUCUGCAGGUGGCUGACUUCGCCAGCCGUACUGCAUCGGGGGCCCUCACGGCAGCUGUGUCCGCCGAAGUCGAGAGACUUCGGACACAACAUGCUGAUGCUGUCCGUGAGAAAUCGGCCUCCGACAGCAAGUGCCAUAAGCUGACGGACAGGGUGGCCGCCCUGGAGAGGGAGAAGGCCGACCUCCGGUGCCAACUGGCGGCGGAGAGGAGGGAGGCAAACGAGGCCAUCGCCAAGGAGCAGGCUGCGCAGGCGGAGGCCAAACUGGCGCGGGCGGAGGCCAAACUUGCCAAGGAGCUCGCCGAACAUCUGCAGGAGCGGCUUACCGCCCUGGAGAGCCGCGCGAAGGGGGCCGAAGCCGCGAUGCGUGCGGAGGCUGAACGGACGCGCGCUCAGCUUACGGAUACAUAUCGCGAGCUGGGCGCGCGGACCGGCGACUUCGAGGUGCCGGACCGAGAGCCCGGGCUCCGCUGUCUGCAAUGGGUGCAGGAGGAGCUGCAGGAACUCCCCACUGUUGUGGGGGGGUUGAUGUCGUACGCCUCCCUGGUCACCUGCGAGGGGGCGAUGAACGCACUCUCCCGCGAAGGGUGCCGGCACUUCGAGGUCUUCGACCAGGCAGAUGAAGAUUUUGAGCGAGAUGUCUAUAAGGUCGAAGACCCUGUUGUGAAGGAAUCUGCCGGGGCCCUCUACGACCGGAUGUGGGGUCUACAUGGUUGUGAGGUGGUCAGGGAGCGGGCCGAGACUGCGAGGGCUCAGGUAACGUUGUUGUUUGCUUGGCGUUUGCUGUAUGCGGGCUGUGCGUGUGUUUGCUGAAUUUGUGUGUCUUGUCCUAGGCGGAGCGCGGCGAGCGGGUGGACGACUUCGGGGCUCUGAACAGCGCGCUGCCAGACCCGGAGCCGACCUUUGCGGAGGCUGUGACUGGGGUCGCCCUGGAGCCAACCCCGGAGACCGCAGCGAUCACGACGGCUGCCUCCACAUCCGCUGCGGCCGGCGAAGACCUGCCCCCGAAGGUGGCCGAAGGCGCCCCUGAUGCCCCCGCAGCUGCUGUGCCGAGUGCUGAAGGUCCCGCGGCGGUGGCGGCGGAAACAACGGCGGAGGCAGCGGCGGGACCAACGGCGGAGGCUCCCGCAGCGUCAGGGCCUUCGUAGGUGGCGUAGUGGUUGUUUAGGGUUGGGGAAUUUUUGGAUGCUGUGCUGAAUUUUGGUUGCUGCGCAGGUUCAAGAUUUUGGGCCUGCGCACGCAACCGCUACUACUGAGUUUUUGGCGGCUUCGACCGCGGAAGGUGGGAAUGAAUAUGGUGGGUUUGCAUCUGAGUUUUUUGAUUUUACCGACUCCGGGAGCUCGGUUGAGUGGACUGAGGAGUCGUCGAAGGAGGACUUGGAUUAUUUUGCGGCCUUGGACGUGGCUGCGGCAGAGGCUUCGCCACACGCCGCGGACGCGCCAGACGUGCCAGGCCCUAGCACCGGGCGCCGCCGACGAAGGGCGGUUGCAAAAUGUAGGGUUAGCGCGGAGGAGGGGGCUCGGCUUCGUGUGAGUAGGGCUGGUCGUCAGGAACUGUUGUCUUUGCCGGCCGCUGCGAGUACAGGGGAAAGGGAACUGCGAAGUCUUUUUGCGGGUGAGGAGCUUAGGAUAAUGUUAUUUAAUUAUAGAGAGAUGGGAAUUAUUCCUAAGGUUGAGCCGAUGUAGAGUGUGGUGCCCUCGCUUGUAUAUGUGUAGAGGUUUGUACGAUGAAGUUGUGUGCCCUCGCGUGCCUGUGCCUGCGAGGACGUUGUGUGCCUUUGUCUGGUAUGGUUGGUUAUGCUGUGCUGUUGUGAUUAUAGUCGUUCUUAGCACGGAUGGUUUGAUGCUAUCGUUUCUGCUUUUGUUGUACUAGUUCGGCUGCGCCCUUAGGCGGCUUCUGCGCGGAGUCUUUGCGAUAGACUUCGGGUUUUUUCGCACUUGUUGUGCUAGUCCGACUGCACCCUUAGGCGACUUCUGCGCGGAUAGUCUUCGCGAUAGACAUUGGAUUUUUUCGCACUUGUUGUGCUUAGUCCGGCUGCACCCUUAGGCGACUUCUGCGCGGAUAGUCUUCGCGAUAGACAUCGGAUUUUUUCGCACUUGUUGUGCUUAGUCCGGCUGCACCCUUAGGCGACUUCUGCGCGGAUAGUCUUCGCGAUAGACAUCGGAUUUUUUCGCACUUGUUGUGCUUAGUCCGGCUGCACCCUUAGGCGACUUCUGCGCGGAUAGUCUUCGCGAUAGACAUCGGAUUUUUUCGCACUUGUUGUGCUUAGUCCGGCUGCACCCUUAGGCGACUUCUGCGCGGAUAGUCUUCGCGAUAGACAUCGGAUUUUUUCGCACUUGUUGUGCUUAGUCCGGCUGCACCCUUAGGCGACUUCUGCGCGGAUUUGUCGCACGCGAGGGUGGCUAGCGCUUAGCCUCGCGGUGACUUCGAAUUGGUCGAAUGCCGAAGACCGUUGUCGCGGUCUUUUUUCGACACAUGUUUUUGCGGGGGAUUUUUCUCACAUAUAUUACAUGGCUCCGCCUCGUUAAAAACCUCACCCCCCGGGAGGAAAAGAGUGCGGGCCGGUACAAGAUUGUUUGCGGCGAAUUACAAGGGCGAAAUCAGCCCUAAAUGGGUCAAACAAAAAAUUUGCGAAGGUUGUCGAUGUUCCAGGAGUGCUCCAGGUCCUCGCCAUUUGGCGUUGUGAGCCUGUAAGCGCUGGGGGAAGCUUUUGACUUGACUAUGAAGGGGCCCUCCCACUUGGGCUCCAACUUGCCCUUGGACUCCGUCCGAGCUGUUCGGACGAGUACGAGGUCCCCCUCGCUGAACUCCCUCGGGAUGACUGCGUGGUCGCGCCAUGCUUUGGUCUGGGCUUGGUAUUUGUUUAGGGCCUGUAGGGCGAAGACCCGGUCUCCGUCAAUGAGAUCUUUUGAAGUUGGCUCGUCCACGUCGGGGACGGCUGACGGAACUGUACGCGGGGACCCAUGCUUUAUUUCUUGCGGGGUCAUUGCCUCCGAUCCGUAUAGAAGGCGGAAAGGAGUGAACCCGGUCGCCCUGCACUCAUUUGUGUUUAGCGCCCAGACUGCCUCCGGUAAUAAAUCGGUCCAUCUGCCUUUUUUCAUCGAGGAGCAUCUUUUUGACAGUUGUGAAUAUUUUCCCAUUGGCACGCUCCACGACCCCGUUGGACUGCGGAUGAUAGACUGAAGCGAAGGCAAGCUUGGUGCCGAUGGAGAAACAAAAAUCCUUGAAAUCUUGGCUGUCGAACUGCUUGCCGUUGUCAACUGUUAGCUCGGACGGUACUCCGAAGCGGCAAACGAUGUUCUGCCAGAAGAAUUUUUGGGCAGUCUUUGAUGUGAUUGUGGAAACAGCCCUCGCUUCAAUCCAUUUGGUGAAGUAUUCGACGGCUACGAAGGCGAACUUAAGGUUCCCCUGAGCGGUGGGCAGGGGCCCGACGAUGUCCAGGCCCCAGCGCUGGAGAGGCCAUGUAUGGCCGUAUGGGCAAUCAGCUUUGUAUAUUGCGAGGGGUUGCCUGACCGAGGAGAGAACUUCUGGCAGGCUUCGCAGGACCUUGUGACCCGAUUUGCGGCGCAGAUCAUUGCGGGCCAGUAAAACCCUUGUCGGAUCACCUUGGCAGCCAGGGCCCUUGGCCCUGCGUGCGAGCCGCACGUGCCACUGUGGACUUCGCGUAGGAUCUGCAUGCCUUCGGUUUCGGUGACGCAUUUAAGCAUUGGCUGACUGACCCCUUUCUUGUAUAAUUGGCCCUCAAUCAGUGCGAAGUCCCGGCUUCGAUGUCUGAGGCGCUUUGCCUCACUGACGUCAGUUGGAUGAUAGUACCCCUGUAGGAACAGGGUUAUUGGUGCCCGCCAGUCUUCGGUCAUGAUUAGGUUGACUAUACGGUGGCCCUCGCUAUCAUUAGUUAUUUGGAGCCCUUCGGGGCUCCGGACGGCAGGCGUGCCGAUGGUGUGAAAGAACACGUCGGAGGGCAAGGGCUCGCCCCUGGCGGCAGCCUUGGCCAAUGCGUCGGCCUCCUCGUUCUUGGCCCUAUCCACAUGCUGCAAGGUGAAUCCCUUGAACUGUCUCUCGAGACUUCGGAUAGCCGCGAGGUAUUGCAUGAGCGCGGGGUCCUUUGCUGCAUAGUCUUUCUCGAUAUGGCCGACAACUAUCUUGGAGUCUGUCUUGAUUAUACAUGUGGUGACUCCGAGGGCCCUUAGCUUGCGGAGGCCGAGGAUAACCGCUUCAUACUCUGCGAUGUUGUUUGUGCAUCUGUCGGAUUCCAGAGCGAAGCUGAGGCGUGCUGCAUAUCUGUGUUUGACUCCUGUUGGUGAGGUGACGAUUGCAGCGACGCCUGCCCCCGCAUGGCACCAUGCGCCGUCGCAAUGGAUGGUCCAGACCUUUUCUGUGGACGGGUCCGGCUGUGCUACUGGCCCAGUCCAGUCGACGACGAAGUCUGCCAGGACUUGCGACUUGAUGGCUGUCCUGGGCUCGAAGCUGAUGUGGUAGCCGGAGAGUUCGGCUGCCCACUUGGCAAUCCUCACCGAUGCCUCCAGGUUUCUGAAUAGUUCGCCGAGCCCCCUGUCAGAGGUGACUCGGACCUUGAAUGCUUCAAAGUAAUGGCGCAGUUUGCGCGAGGACAUAACAACUGCGUAGGCGAUCUUCUCCAGCUCUGUCAUGUUGCAUUUGGACGGUGUCAGGACUUCGGAGACAUAGUAAAUAGGGCACUGUCUGACUGUGCCUUCAACAGUCUGCUCCUGCACUAGUGCCGCGCUGACCGCGUGCGGCGAAGCCGCGACAUAGAGCAAUAGGGGGAGCGAGGAGUCAGGGCUUGUGAGGAUGGCCAGCUCCGAUAAGUACUGUUUUAAUGAGGCGAAGGCCGCUGCUUGCUCCGGCCCCCAAGCGAAGUCUUUCGCACCGCUUUUUGAGGAAGGGGAGACUUCGCUCGGCGGACCUGGAGAUGAAUCUGUUGAGAGCGGCCAAUCUGCCUGUCAGACGCUGGACGUCCCCGACGGACUGCGGAGGCGACAUGUCGACGAUGGCCUGGAUCUUGGUUGGGUUGGCCUCGAUGCCGCGGUGUGACACCAGGUAACCCAAUAUCUUGCCCUGGCGAACACCGAAGACGCACUUUUCCGGGUUCAGGCGGAGUCGUGCAUCUCGCAUGUUCGCGAAUGUCUCGGCGAGGUCGGCGAGGUGGUCCUCCUUAUUCUUGCUGGCGACGACGAUGUCGUCCACAUAUGUAAAUAUGUUUCUACCGACCUGCCCUUCGAGUACUGUUUUGGUGAGUCUUGAGAAGGUGGACCCCGCAUUCUUGAGUCCCUCCGGCAUCCUGAUGAAGCAAUAAGUGCCGAAGGGUGUUAUAAAGCUGGUGCUAGCCUUGUCUUCCUCCUUCAUGUAUAUCUGGUGAUAGCCGGAGAAGCAGUCGAGGAGUGACAUGACCUCGCAUCCGGCCACGCUAUCGACUAUUUUGUCGAUCCGCGGCAACGGGAAAUUGUCCUUCGGGCAGGCCUUAUUGAGACUGGUGAAGUCUAUGCACAUUCGCCAUUUCCCGCUUUUUUUCUGCACCAUUACGACAUUGGAGAGCCACGUGGGGUAAGCCACUGGCUCGAUGAAUUUAGCUUCUAGGAGGCGGUGCACUUCCGCCUUGGCGGCCUCUGUCUUUUCGUCGGACAUUUUGCGGAGCCUUUGCUUUUUUGGUCGCACCGAAGGGUCGAUUCCCAAGCUGUGCUCAAUUAUGGAUCGGCUGACUCCGACCAGGUCUAGGGCGGACCAGGCGAAGACAUCUUUAUUCUUGGCCAGGCAGCAGAGAAGCUUCUCUUCUUCAUGUGACGUAAGGUCUUCGCUGAUAGUGACUGUCUGCUUGGGCGUGGCCUGAUCAAGGGGAACAGUCUUGGUUCCGUCUUGGCUCUGCAACUGUGCCUUCUCGUGCUGCUUGUUGGUUGGGCUGGCGGGCGCAGGGACCUCGCGCUGGGUCGUGAGACAGUGUACGUUCCUCUGACCAGGCACGAAGUCCCGCUCUAUGUUGCGCGCCGUCUGCUGGUUGCCGUAGAUCGUGAUAGCGCCUAGCGGACCUGGUAUCUUCAUACAUAGGUACAGUCCAUGGAUGGCAGCUUCGAACUUAUUGAUGGAGCCCCGGCCCAUGAUGGCAUUGUACGGAUAUACCAUGUCGACAAUGUCGAAGGUUACUUGCUCACUUCGGGCAUUGGGUGCUACACCGAAGGAGAGGGGAAGCUCUAUUUUGCCAACAGGAAAGGUGCCUUUGCCGCCGAAGCCAUACAACGGAUUGUCCGAAGGCUUGAGCAGGCUGUGGCUUAUACCCAUGCGGUCGAAGGCGUGGAGGAAGAUGAUGUCCGCCUGACUGCCGUUGUCGACUAGGACUUUGUGUAGGUCCCAGCCUGCCACGCUGCAAUUGAUGACCAUAGCGUCGAUGUGGGGGGCGCUGCGCAGGUCGACGUCUCGUGCAUCGAAGGUUAGCGGUAUGUGGGACCACUUCGUCUGCACGACUGGGCCAGUGACCGCGACAUGGUUGAUGCUGCGGUAGUGGUCCCGCUUCUGCCGCUUGGUGUCGAAGUCAGUGCUGGACCCCCCUGUUAUCAUGUGAAUGACUCCGCGAUAUGGUUGAUCGGCGAAGUCUUCCUGCUUUGGGGCAUGGGGGAUGUUUUGGUGUUGCUGGUGUGGUGGUGGGGGUGGAGGAGGUACGAUUUGUACUUCCUGAUGGUGUUGGUAAGCGUGGUGCGGUGGAUGCGGGGCGGGAGCGUGGAUAUAUGGUGGAGGGGGUGGCUGGUAAUUAUGCGCGACAAUUCUGGGAUUGUCGGCUGGCCGCGCCCGCGCCAUUCUGUCUCUGGUGGCCUUCGUUUCGGGGCAGUCUUUGGUUUGGUGGGCGCAGUCUUCGCCGUGGAAAAGGCAGUAGAACCGGCGCGGCGGCUGCGCGCGCCCUCGGCCCCUGCCACGAGUUCCGUUUCCGCGGCCCUGGGGGGGAUAUUCCUGGCGACGAGGGGGGUCAGCAGCAGGCUGCUGGUUGGCGAUGUUGUGCACUUGCUGUUGACUGUGGCCAUCUCGACCGGAGUCUGGUUGCGGAGUCCUCGUCCACGUGCGGCUAGACUGCGGGGCAUCUUUGGGCUUCCGCUGUGAUUCAACCUUGCGCUGGUGGAGCUCUUCGGAUUUGGCAUAUUUUUCAAAGAGCUGAUAUAGCUCCUGGAGGUUCUUGGGUGGAUCUCUGAUACAGUGGCUGUAGAGGACGCCGGCCCGAAGGCCACUGAUGGCGUAGUGGAUAUCGAUCUGAUCAUCGACGGAGGUCAGCUGUGACUUGAGUGUUAAGAAUUUACGGUAAUACUCCCGCAGAGUCUCCUUUUCCAGCUGUUUUCAAAGCGAGAGCUCGGCCAAAGCGUCGGUGUCUGGGCGGUACACUUGGAAGUUGAGAAGGAACUUGUCCCUGAGACUUCUCCACGAAUCAAUGGACAGCGGAGGCAAUCUGGUGAACCAGGUGAGUGCUGGGCCCUCUAGGGCGAUGAUGAAAGACUUCGCCAUUGUGGCGUCGUCCCCUCCGGCGGAUGCAACGGCGACUUGAUAACUCAUUAUGUAUUGCGCCGGAUCGGUGCUGCCGUUGUACUUGGGAUAUGCCCCUGCUCGGAAGUUAGCUGGCCAAGGCGUCACUUGCAGGUGUGGCGCCAGGGGACUUCGCUCGUCGAGGUAGUUGACCUCUUGGAAUGGCGCGCCGUGCUGGAAGGCGUAGUCAUGCUGGGGGAAACGCGGGUUCUCCGGCUGCGCCCGGUGUUGCAGGGGUGGGCCAUGCUGCAGGCCGAGGUGGCCUUCGCGCGUGUCUUCCGGUUGCGGGCGCUGCUGGAGGGGUGGCUCUUGCUGUAGACCGAGGUGGCCUUCGCGCUGCAUCAGCGCGAUCUCGCGCUCGAGGUCUUGGGCCUUAUGCUCCUCGUCGCGUAUCAUUUGCUGCACCUUGGCUAGUGCGGACACACGCUGGCGCUUGGCUUCCAGUAUCUCUUUCUGCCUCUGGAGAUUGCGGUUCUUGAGGCACAGGGCGCGCAGCUGUAACUGUUCUUCUGUUGAGACGCCGAGGACCUCGCCGUCCUCGGUGAGAUCCGCGCCCUCCAGUGGGGCGAAGCCUGGGGGCGGCUGCGAUUGUCCUUCGGGCCCGCAGGUGCGGAAGGUGUCGUCUUCGCAGGUGCGGGGAAUGUUGUCUUCAGUGGGCUCUUGGUGGGUGGAUUGGGUGAGGGCGAGGGCCUUGCCCUUUCUUGCGGCCAGCAGUGCUGCCUUCGCAGCCUCGUCAGCCUUCGGGUUAGCUCUCUUGGGUGCCAUCGCGGGUGGUCUUGUCGUAGCACGAACGGUGGGCGCCAAAUGUUGGAACUUGCUCUCAGCGGCAAGGAGGCCAACAAGGGUGAACGGUGGUGACAACAGGGUUACGUGCUCGGGGGCAAUAGCUCUGUUUAUCUAGCCUCUCACGGGUAGUGUGCGGGGGUAUUUAUAGGUAUCUGAGUGCCCAGCGCCUUGUGUUAAGGACGCAUGUGCCCUCAGACACCUAGUUUAUCCCCAGAAUAUUCCCAUAAAGCAGGGUUACAAGCUGUAAUUACAAGAAUGCCUUUACAAACUAGGCCCGUAACACAAAGGCGGCCACGCGGGGCCCGUUACAAUGGGCCAGAUCACACGUGGGCCUCAGAGCGGGACGAGGCCGUGCUGCGGGGAGACGUCACCGCAGGCCUUCGUCUGGUGCUGAAUGAAGCGAAGGGUGUCCCUGCCCGUUUUGUCUUUGUCAGACCAGCGACUGCAGAGAAAGGCGACGAGCGAAGGGUGGCGUCUUUGCCUUCGCCCCAACACUUCUCCCAAGAGGAUCUUCAACUCAAGGAUUACCCACACAACGAUGCUAUGGUUAUCUCUUGUGUCAUCAAAGGAUUUCUGGUCCACAAUGUUUUGGUUGAUACAGGCAGUGCAACUGAUAUCAUAUUUGCUAAGGCCUUCAGACAGAUGCAAGAGCCCGAAGAUAAAAUUCUUGAUGCCACACAUCCCCUUUGCGGCUUCGGAGGAAGGCAGAUUGUAGCACUCGACAAAAUCUCAAUGCCAGUGACCUUCGGAUUUAUCAACAACACAAGGACUGAACAAGUUAUGUUUGAUAUUGUUGACAUGGAAUACCCUUACAAUGCAAUCAUUGGUCGUGGUACUCUCAAUGCCUUCGAAGCAAUUCUUCAUCCAGCUUAUCUUUGCAUGAAGAUACCUUCGGACCAAGGGCCCAUUGCUAUUCAUGGAACUCAGGAAGCUGCCAGAAGGGCCGAAGGAAAUUGGACAGACUCAAAAGCAAUCCAUAAUAUAGAUGGAACUGAAGCUUGUGAGCUAUACAAGUUCAGAAGGGAAAAGGCUGUUUCGGCUGAUCAGCCGAAGCCCAUGCUCUUAUGUGAGGAUAUAGCAGAGCAGAAGGUGCUAUUGGGAUCUCAAUUGUCUGAAGAGCAGGAGAAAACCUUGAUAAGGUUUCUGUUCAACAAUAAAGAUGUUUUUGCUUGGUCAGCUAAUGAUCUUUGUGGAGUUAACAGGGAUGUUAUUGAGCACUCGCUCAAUGUUGAUCCAUCCUUCAGACCCAGAAAGCAGAGGCUUCGGAAGAUGUCUGAUGACAAGGCCGAAGGUGCUCGGAAUGAAGUGAAAAGACUCCUCAGUGCCGGAGUUAUUAGAGAGGUAAAAUACCCAGAAUGGUUGGCUAACACUGUUAUGGUGAAGAAGGCCAAUGGUAAAUGGAGAAUGUGUAUCGAUUUCACUGAUCUCAAUAAGGUCUAUCCAAAGGACGAGUUUCCAUUGCCAAGGAUAGAUUCCUUAGUUGAUGCAGCAGCUUCAUCAGAGCUUAUGAGUCUGCUAGAUUGCUAUUCAGGCUAUCAUCAAAUCUGGAUGAAGAAGGAGGAUGAACCGAAAACCAGCUUCAUAACCCCUAGUGGGACAUAUUGUUACCUUCGGAUGCCUGAGGGGCUUAAGAAUGCCAGAGGAAGUUUCAGCAGAAUGACAGCGAAGGUCCUCCAUUCUUAGAUAGGCAGGAAUGUGCUAACUUAUGUUGAUGAUAUCAUUGUAAAAAGCACGAAGCAAGAUAACCACAUUGCUGAUUUACAGGAGACCUUCGCUAAUUUUAGACAGGCUGGUCUAAAGCUGAAUCCAGAAAAAUGUGUCUUCGUAGUAAAGAAGGGGAAAUUUCUUGGUUGCCUAGUUUCAACAAAGGGAAUUGAGGCUAAUCCAAACAAAAUCGAAGCUAUACUUCGAAUGGAACCACCAAGUACCAAAAAGGGGGCUCAAAGAUUGACAGGAAGGCUGGCAUCUCUCAAUAGAUUCAUAUCCAGAUCAGCAGAGAGAAACUUACCAUUCUUCGAAGUGCUGAAGUCAGCCGAAGUCUUUCAAUGGGGACCAAUCCAGCAGAAAGCCUUCGAAGAGCUGAAGCAAUAUUUGAUAGAUCUAACAACAUUAACUCCACCAACGCCAGGGGCUCCUUUGUUAUUAUAUGUGGCAGCUUCGCACUCAGCGGUAAGUGCAGCACUUGUCCAGGAGAAGCUUGAAGGCCAAGUUAAGAGGCAGGCCCCAAUAUAUUUCGUAUCCGAGGUUCUUAGUUUAUCAAAGAAAAAUUAUACAGAAUUGGAGAAGGUACUGUAUGCUGUUUUGAUGGCCUCCAGGAAGCUUCGACAUUAUUUUCAAGCUUACAACAUAAUUGUUCCUUCUUCGCAACCUCUGAAGGAUAUUAUGAGAAACCGAGAAGCUACUGGAAGGAUUGGAAAAUGGGCUGCAGAGCUCAAUGAAUUUUGUAUUGAUUAUGUCCAUAGAUCUUCGAUUCAGUCCCAAGCGUUGGCAGACUUCAUUGCUGACUGGACGCCAGGGGCUCAGGAGGAAGAAACGAAUAAAGAUGCCGAAGCAUGGACAGUGUUUUGCGAUGGGUCUUGGGGAACCUUCGGAGCAGGAGCGGCUGCUGUGUUGGUUUCACCAUCCAAAGUUAAAACUUGUUAUGCGGCAAGACUUGAUUUUAGUUGCACAAAUAAUAUCGCUGAGUAUGAAGCUCUGCUCUUGGGUCUUCGGAAGUUAAAAGCAAUGGGAAUCAGAAGGGUUAUUCUUAAAACUGAUUCUCAAGUUAUUUCUGGUCAUGAUGACAAGAGCUAUAAAGCAAGAGACCCGAAGCUUGAAAAGUAUCUAGAUAUAGUCCGAAGGAUUGAGGCUUCCUUCGAAGGUUUCUCUGUCAAAAAUAUUCCUCGUGGAGAAAAUGAAUAUGCUGAUUUAUUGGCCAAGUCAGCAGCUCAGAGGCUGCCUACACCUUUGGAAGUAUUUUUCGAAACAAUAAAAGCACCUUCGGUCAAGCUUCUUGAAAGAGCAAUUCUUAACAUAUCCCCUGUUUAUAGCGAAGAUUGGAGAACUGAGAUCGUCUCUUUCCUUCAGGGUAAUUUUCUUUCAGAUGACGAAGCUUAUAACAGGAGAAUAGAAGCAAGAGCUCGACCAUAUGUCAUAAUAGAGGGGGAGUUAUACAAGCAUGGGGUCUGUUCCCCAUUGCUCAAGUGUUUAUCCAGAUCCGAAGGUAUCGAAUUAAUGAAGGAAAUACAUGCAGGCCUGUGUGGAUCUCACAUUGGAUCUAGGCCCUUGCUUGGGAAAGUUUUUCGCCAAGGAUUUUAUUGGCCAAAGGCAGCUUCGGAUGUAGCGGAUCUGGUCCAAAAGUGUGAAGGUUGUCAGAAAUGUGCAAAAGAUCAAAAGCAACCUUCGUCUUUAACCCAAUUAAUACAACCCACUUGGCCGUUGCAAAGGUGGGGUCUCGAUUUACUAGGCCCAUUACCACCAGCACAGGGGAACCUAAGAUAUGUAGUAGUGACAGUGGAAUAUUUUUCCAAGUGGAAUGAGGCAAAGCCCUUAGCCACAAUAACUUCAUUUACUAUUCAAAAGUUUUUCUGGCAAAACAUUGUUUGUCGCUUCGGAGUGCCGAAGGCUAUUACUGUGGAUAAUGGGACACAGUUUGAUUCUGAAGCCUUUAGAGAAUUUUGUGAUCAAAUUGGCACGAAGAUCCAUUUUGCAUCAGUCCGACACCCAGAGUCAAAUGGACUUGUCGAAAGAGCUAAUGGGAUCAUAAUGACAGGAAUAAUGAAGUCAAUCUUCAAUCAGCCCAGGGGAAAGUGGCCAGACGAGUUAAUCAAAGUGGUGUGGAGCCAUAACACAACCAUGUCAAGGUCAACAGGCUUUACGCCCUUUAAACUAUUGUUCGGUGACGAAGCAAUAACCCCAGAAGAGGCCAAAGCAGGAUCAAUAAGGACAGUAGUUUCGGCAGAAGGCGAAGACGAAGCUGAUUGCUCUGUAGAAAAAGAUGCUAUUGAAGGGAUAAAACUUCAAGCUGUGGAAAACAUCAAUAAAUAUCAAGCUGAAACAAUAAAAUGGCGUGACAGAAAGGUCAAGCUGAAGAACAUUGAACCAGGACACUUGGUACUUCGAAGAGUAGCCAACCCUGAGACAGUAGGCAAAUUACAACUGAAGUGGGAAGGCCCCUUUUUGGUAGUAUCUUCGUCAAGACCCGGUUCCUACAGAUUGAAGGAUAUGGACGGCAACGAUAUUCCUAGAUCAUGGAAUGCGGAUGAGCUUCGGCGAUAUUAUGUUUAGUUUGAUGUAAUUUUUUAUAUUCUUUUUUGUGGCACCCUUUUCCUUUCCAAAGGGGGAGAAAGGUUUUUAAUGGGGCCACAACAUGUAAUUUUCCUUAUUUCAAUUCUAUGAGAGUGAUAUCCCCCAAAAAAUGUAAAUGUAAAUGCAAAGGAAAAAAGAAAAGGAAACAGGGAGAAGCUCAAAAGUCGUUCCUAAGGGAAUGCAGAGCUUACAGCGAAAAAUAAACGCUGAUCUCGCCGAAAGUAAAAGGCGAAGAAGCUCCUAAGGGAGGCUUACAGCGAAAAAUAAACGCUGAUUCCGCUUAAAGUAAAAGGCGAAGAAGCUCCUAAGGGAGGCUUACAGCGAAAAAUAAACGCCGAUUCCGCUGAAAGUAAAAGGCGAAGAAGCUCCCAAGGGAGGCUUACAGCGAAAAGUCAACGCUGAUACACCGAAAAGUAAAUGGUGAAGCCGAAAAGUAAACGACAAAAAGAUUUGUAUCAUUCCUAAGGGGAUGAAGGGCUGUGCUUAUGGUUUUUGAACAUGUGUCCCAAUAUUCAUUUGCACAGUACAUUUCAUCAUGUCAUUUGCAUUCAUAAACAUUCAUUUAGACAUAAAUAGAAUCAUCAUCAUACUACACAAAAAAGACAGGUGCUUCAGCAAUGAGGAAAAACUUCGAAGGAAAUUUUUUUUAUGCUUCGUUGUGUACGAAAAGAAGGGAAGGUGUUUUUCGCCUUCGGCUCAAAAGAGAAGUUUCGUCCACAGCAAAGCAGACUGUAUGCGGAUAAAGGAGACAAAAUAUAUUACAAGGUAUGUACAAAUUUACAUGAGUUGUUCCAUAACUAUAUUACAAGAGUUUCUUCAGAAUUUUUACAGGAAAGUAUAUUGUAAGCAACUAUUAAGCUUCAGGCUAGGCUUCGUCAAACUUCAGCUUCGUCAAACUUCAGCUUCGUCAUUCUUCAGCUUCGUCAUCCUGCGUAUAUCAAACAGCAGAAUAAAAAAGGUGCAAAUUUCAAGGAGAAGGUAAAAGUAACAAACAUAAGUCUCUUACCGGCUUAAGAUGGCUUCGAGCUUCGUCACCUGCCAUUUUUCGCCCGCCACUUACCCAGAUCUGGGUCAUGAAUCUAUUUCCAAUGCUUCGGGCUAGGCUUGGGAUAUCUAUCAGAUCUGAUGCCGACAAGCUGAAGUUUGGUCUGUUCACAAUAUUUCCAUGCGUGUAGCCAGCCUUCAGAAAAGCAGUAGCUAUGCCCCGAGAAGCUACCAGGGCGCAGAAGUCGGCGUGCCCACCAAUAACUUCAUCAAGGGCAUCAACCUCGCCUUCAAUAUAUUCUAAUGUGCUGGGCAGAUUUUCAGCUGAAGGUGUAAAUUUCGCAGAGCUGGCUCCAAUAGAAUGAAACACAUCCUUCAGCCGCUGCACGCAUCGGCUGCCGAAGCUUAAGCAUUUCUCUUGAAGUUCUUUAAAGGAUUUCUGCAAAUUUGAAUUUUUGUCCACCUCAGUUUUCAAGCUUGCUUCAAGAUAUUUCUUUUCUUGCUCAAAUUUUUCUGACUGUUGGAGCAAUUCAUUCUUUAAGUUGUUAUUCUCAGUUUGGACUUCAGCCAAAGAACCCUCCAUAGUCUGAAUAACAAAAUCUUUCUUUUCUAAUGCACCUUCGUGCUCUUUAACCAUGAUUUCAAGGUCCGGGAUGGUGAAGUCUUUCUUUUUCAGAUUGGCUUCGUAAUUUUCAACUUUUUCAGCCAAAUCUUGGAUGACGGCUUUGUUCUUCUCUUCUUCGAGAUCUUGUUGCAUUUUUAGAACCUUACUUAAUAAUAUGCUCUGUCGAAACGAUCUUCGUUAGAAAACGACCUAAAAGAUAAUAAUAAUAAUAGUAAUAAAAUAACAAAAAUAUUUGUUACCUUGAAGUUAGCAUAAAGCAAGCUUCCGGCAAUAUGGUGUCGUUGGUAACGGCAGAGGUCCGCUUCUAGCUUCGGCAAGCCAAUGUUUUUGCAGAGAGUUCUAACAAUUUUAGCUUCGCUGCGGUUUCGAAGGCACCUCAACUUUUCUUCGUUAACCCCACCGAACAGUGUAGCCCCUGGCUUAUAUCCGCAGGCUAUGGCACAUUUUUUAAGCUCUGCUUUUUCAGCGUCUGUCAGUCCUUGCCCAAGUAAAUCUUGAAAUUCAAAAUCUUCUUCCUCCAAAAUGUCUUCAGCUUGUUUUUCCCCUUUUCACUAGCUGUGCUCGCCGCGGCUACAACAGAUUCUUCCUCAGUCAUUUUUAGGAGUAUGUUAUCAAUAACUUCAAGUGUCUCUUCCAGGUUCGGAUCUUAUGUGGCCUCGGUUUCAGCCCCGGCAGCUUCGGCUGCGCCAGUUUCAGCUUUGAAGGUUUCUGCUCUGGUGGCUUCGGCUGCGGCGCCUUUAGCUUCGGCGGUUUCGGCAGUCUGGUCAAUGGCAAUUCUUGAUUCCGGUGUCGGUGACGGUGUCCCAUGAAUUACAUCUGCUAUUUGAAUAAUCCUUCGUUUUUUCGGCAGUGUAGGACCUUCGUCUGCCGAAGCUGCCUUGUCCAGGAAAAAACUUCGUCAGUUCCAGCGCCAGCGGACUUAGCUUGACAGGCAAAGGUUCAGUCAUUACCUUCAUAAUCUCUUCUACUUCAACAGUAGAAGGCGUUGCAGGAGUACCUUCUUCUCGAACCAACGUUUUUGGUUCUGGAGAUGCAGUUUUCCUCUUUCUUGCAGUGGCCACCUUCGGCUCAGGGUUCAACUCUUCAGGGCUAAGUUUUUCAGAAUCUUCCCUUUUCUUUUUGGCUACCUUGGCGACCUCUUCGUCAGCAGCGCUGGCAAUUCUUUUUCGCUUCGGGCCUCCAGCAUCUCCGCCCAGUCGACCAUAAUCAGCAUAUUCAAACCCUAUAGCAUCAAGCACUCUGUUCAGCCUUCGCUUCGGCCGAGUGCCGAAGGCUGCUGUCAUCAGCUGGUCCUCUUUUUUGGAGUAAUUUCCAAGAAUUUCGUUACUCAUUACUUCGAUCGUGUCGAGCCAUUCUUGGCAGGGUGCUUUAAAAUAUUUCUUAAACUUAUAAUAAUAGGGUAGUCGGACAAGCUCCCCUCUUUCUUUUCUCCUUUAAGCUUCGGCAUAGUCCACUCCUUCAUAGUCGGAAAUACUCUGAAGGCCAGAAAUUCCUGCACUAAAUCCCUAGUGCCAAUGUGUUCUGCAAUAAUUUUGAAUUCAGCCAGUGCGGUCCAAGUUGGACCUUCUGCUGCCAUAUUGCAUCGGGGUCUGGUUUCUCCGAAGAUCAGUUCAAGAGAGCUCUGUACCAGCUUCUCUUUGUCAUCAUCAGCUUUGACAUAAAACCAUUCUGACUUCCAGCCUGCCGACCAUUUGCUUCGGUAGCUAAUCACAGGAAAUUUUGUGGUUUUCCGAUAGGCAAAAUUAUAACAACCAAAAUUUUCAUGCAACCCAUCCUUUCUGGCCUUAGUCUGGUAAUGUAGCUCAUGUACUCGAAAGAAGCUGUCGGCAAGCGGCUCCACCGCCUGGCUUCGGAGAGCCCAGAUAUAAACGCUAAGCCUGACAAUGGCAUUAGGAGUCAGUUGGUGAAAAUAGAUCCCAAACCUUUGCAGCACAUCAGAAAUCAUUCUAUUUAAAGGAAAUCUCAACCCAGCUUUUAGAAAACUCUUCAAAAUAACUAUUUCAUCCUUUUCUGGCUUCGGGGUAGUUUCCUCUCCCCCGAAGCGAAUCAGCUUCUUCUCAUCUUCACUGAAAUAGCCCGACUUCACCAUUUUGGAAAAAUCAGCCUUCGAGAUAGUCGACUUUCCGAAGUCCAAAUGGCUGGGCUUGCUCGGUACUGCGAUAUGGUAAUCACCGUCAGAAUCAGCUUCCUCAAUAUCUCCUUGUUCCGCUUCGGCAGCAGCUUGUUCUGUUUCGGCAGUGGGGAUUCUUUCCGAGGUCACUAGUCCGGAUCACUGCAUUGCUUCGGAAAUAGGAACAGUCUCCGCUCCUUCGGCUUCGUCUCCCUCACGCUCAAUUCUAGCAGUAAAACAGUGCAAUAGCAAUGAAUGCUGUGGUAACUUCACACCUACCUGUCUGUUUAUAUAGUGCUGCUGGUAAGAAGGUGAAUCGUCAGGAUUUUUACACCAGGCAAACAGCUGCUCGCACCCGCUGCGCGGUGGGACGCAAAGACCAAAAUAGUGAACCUGCAUGGUGGGACCGCUACGCGCUCAGAAACUGUAUCGUUUCUCGACAACGAGCUCAGGGAAGGUGUUUUUCGGACCUUCGGCUUCCUGAAGCCUAAGAGACUUUUUUCACGGAUCAAGCUCGUUACGAAAAACGAUCUAGCACCGCGAAGGGGCUACUGUUGGGACCAUGCUUCGUCGCCGAAGGUCCUGCAGGAAGAAACAGCUUCGGCUGAAGCUGUCUGUACGUGAUGCCGAAGGGUGCCGUUCAUGAAGCUUCGGAAUUACAAACCGACUUAAAGAUAGAAUGACAUUUUAGUCCAUAAGAGUUUGAGUCGUUGUUGUAAACUUUUAUGAGGGGUAUGAUUGUAAUUGCUUACAGGCUGUGUCCUGUGCCUAUAAAUAGUGAACAAUAUUCUUUUACUGUUCACGCAUUCCUGUAAUUGCAAUCACAUUACUCGGAAAUUAUUCCUUGCAAGGCAGAGGUAUAAAUGUAUCUAAACAUUAUAUUUGAAUACAUCAAGUUUAUAUAAUAUGUAAAUGAUGUUGUUUACUUCAAUUUACUUGUCUUUAAUGCUUUAUGUCUCGUGUUAUUUUAUAUUAUCUCUGAGAGUUCAAUUACGAAGAUUCAACCUUCGUAAUUGUAUCAUUAUAACCUUCGUCCGAAGUUCAUUAAAUCCUUGGGGGAAAUAAUGCUUCAGCGGACGAAGGACAUUAAUAUUUAACAUUUUAUGUUGCCUUGUUCUUAAUUCAUAGCAUUUGAGAACAAGUCCCCAACAACCAUGUUUGUCUGUAUUGCUAUGUUUAGCAGUGAGGACACGUGUCAUCUGAACAGUAAGUUGGUACCUGGAAUCUCAAGUGCCAGGCAAGUUGUGCCCUUGAUCACUUCUUUUUACCCAGUCUUGUUCUGAUUAAUCAUAAUGAUCUGCAUAGGUUAAUUUUGAUGGGACCCAAUAGGUUACCCUAGAUCUGACUAUCUUUAUACCUUGUUUCACCACUGGUUUUACUACUAAAUUUUUGGGUAGUACAUGCUAUUGCUUUAUGUGGUUUCGGGUAUAAAGAUACAUAUUAUUCAUGAUUAUAUUUUAUUAUCUGUUCAUUAUUUACUGUUCAUGAUAAGAUCAUUAUGUUAAUGGGAACAUGGAGAACCACCCGGGAAAACAGUGCUACCACAAGGGUUUAUGGAUGCCCUUGGCUGAUUAACUAGGAAAGCUAGUGGAUGAUUACCUUACCUGAAAGGGGCAAGGGCAGUAGGGGAGUGGUUAGUGUAGGGAGGUCCUUGGUUGAUUUUGCUGUGAUGGCGGUCAGUCGAGGGACUCCUGCACUGGAGCUUCCUAUAAACUAUAGCGGGUUUUCUGAAGCUAGUGGAACUUUGUAAAGGCCCCGUAGUGUUACCCUGCCUCGCCUCCUCGGUAGAGGUGUAUGGGAUUGGUCGUCUCUUGGUAGACGGGUAACAUGACUUGUGGGUAAAGAUGUGCAACCUCUGCAGAGUGUAAAACUGGUAUACUAGCCGUGCUCACGGUCAUGAGCAGCUCGAACACUCACAUGAUUAAUUUAUGGAAUUAAAUUCAAUUCGUCAUAUGCAUUGCAUCACAGGUGAUGUUGUUACUUUUGUUCUACUACUUAAUUGGGUUGGUAUUUACUUAUACUUAGUAAUAGCUAAUAAAAUUUUGACCAACUUUAAAAGCAAUGCUCAGCUCUAACCAUCCUCUUUGGUAAGCCUUGCACUUCACAUGAGCUCCCACCUUUGGCGAGUUCAUGCACAUUAUUCCCCACAACUUGUUGAGCGAUGAACGUAUGUGAGCUCAUUCUUGUUGUCUCACACCCCCCACAGGUCAAGAACAGGUACCACAGGAUGAGGCGCAUGGAGGAUGUUAUGACGAGUUCGUGAGAGGUCUAGGCCGUCGUCUCCCAGUCAACUUUGGGUUGCUGGACCGUUG
This 23744-nucleotide long non-coding RNA is filed under the name Zea mays. RNAcentral describes it as "long non-coding RNA (ZMAY_LNC001648)". The record is from RNAcentral. Lineage: Eukaryota; Viridiplantae; Streptophyta; Magnoliopsida; Poales; Poaceae.